RNAcentral lists this unclassified non-coding RNA (191 nucleotides) under soil metagenome. Its description in RNAcentral is "partial internal transcribed spacer 1". The record is from RNAcentral.
ACGAGUUAGGGUCCUCUAGGCCCGACCUCCCAACCCUUUGCUUACCGAACCUCUGUUGCUUCGGCGGGCCCGUCUCACGACCGCCGGAGGACCGCCGCAGGGCGUGUCCUCUAGCCCGUGUCCGCCGAUAGCCAACUACAAAACUCUGUAUAAAUCAUGUCUCAUGUCUAAGUCAAAUUGAGUUAAAAGCA